Molecule: ribosomal RNA, 370 nt
Filed under: uncultured bacterium
Lineage: Bacteria
Description: bacterial SSU rRNA
Rfam family: Bacterial small subunit ribosomal RNA
Source: RNAcentral
AUUGAACGCUGGCGGCAUGCCUUACACAUGCAAGUCGAACGGCAGCACGGGAGCAAUCCUGGUGGCGAGUGGCGAACGGGUGAGUAAUAUAUCGGAACGUGCCCAGUCGUGGGGGAUAACGUAGCGAAAGCUACGCUAAUACCGCAUACGAUCUAUGGAUGAAAGCGGGGGAUCGCAAGACCUCGCGCGAUUGGAGCGGCCGAUAUCAGAUUAGGUAGUUGGUGAGGUAAAGGCUCACCAAGCCGACGAUCUGUAGCUGGUCUGAGAGGACGACCAGCCACACUGGGACUGAGACACGGCCCAGACUCCUACGGGAGGCAGCAGUGGGGGAAUUUUUGGACAAUAGGGCGGCAAGACCUGAUCCAGCAAU